Molecule: ribosomal RNA, 2989 nt
Filed under: Salmonella enterica
Lineage: Bacteria; Pseudomonadati; Pseudomonadota; Gammaproteobacteria; Enterobacterales; Enterobacteriaceae
Description: 23S ribosomal RNA
Rfam family: Bacterial large subunit ribosomal RNA
Source: RNAcentral
GGUUAAGCGACUAAGCGUACACGGUGGAUGCCCUGGCAGUCAGAGGCGAUGAAGGACGUGCUAAUCUGCGAUAAGCGCCGGUAAGGUGAUAUGAACCGUUAUAACCGGCGAUUUCCGAAUGGGGAAACCCAGUGUGAUUCGUCACACUAUCAUUAACUGAAUCCAUAGGUUAAUGAGGCGAACCGGGGGAACUGAAACAUCUAAGUACCCCGAGGAAAAGAAAUCAACCGAGAUUCCCCCAGUAGCGGCGAGCGAACGGGGAGGAGCCCAGAGCCUGAAUCAGCAUGUGUGUUAGUGGAAGCGUCUGGAAAGGCGCGCGAUACAGGGUGACAGCCCCGUACACAAAAGCGCAUGUGCUGUGAGCUCGAUGAGUAGGGCGGGACACGUGGUAUCCUGUCUGAAUAUGGGGGGACCAUCCUCCAAGGCUAAAUACUCCUGACUGACCGAUAGUGAACCAGUACCGUGAGGGAAAGGCGAAAAGAACCCCGGCGAGGGGAGUGAAAAAGAACCUGAAACCGUGUACGUACAAGCAGUGGGAGCACAGGUUUACCUGUGUGACUGCGUACCUUUUGUAUAAUGGGUCAGCGACUUAUAUUCUGUAGCAAGGUUAACCGAAUAGGGGAGCCGGAGGGAAACCGAGUCUUAAUUGGGCGUUAAGUUGCAGGGUAUAGACCCGAAACCCGGUGAUCUAGCCAUGGGCAGGUUGAAGGUUGGGUAACACUAACUGGAGGACCGAACCGACUAAUGUUGAAAAAUUAGCGGAUGACCUGUGGCUGGGGGUGAAAGGCCAAUCAAACCGGGAGAUAGCUGGUUCUCCCCGAAAGCUAUUUAGGUAGCGCCUCGUGAAUUCAUCUCCGGGGGUAGAGCACUGUUUCGGCUAGGGGGCCAUCCCGGCUUACCAACCCGAUGCAAACUGCGAAUACCGGAGAAUGUUAUCACGGGAGACACACGGCGGGUGCUAACGUCCGUCGUGAAGAGGGAAACAACCCAGACCGCCAGCUAAGGUCCCAAAGUCAUGGUUAAGUGGGAAACGAUGUGGGAAGGCCCAGACAGCCAGGAUGUUGGCUUAGAAGCAGCCAUCAUUUAAAGAAAGCGUAAUAGCUCACUGGUCGAGUCGGCCUGCGCGGAAGAUGUAACGGGGCUAAACCAUGCACCGAAGCUGCGGCAGCGAACGUAUCACUUAAAGCGAUUCAGCGGGUUACGAUUGACGGAGCGAAGCGACGUCAAAGCGUAUACAAAGUCGAGUCGGUUUAAGGAUACGUUCGUUGGGUAGGGGAGCGUUCUGUAAGCCUGCGAAGGUGGCCUGUGAGGGUUGCUGGAGGUAUCAGAAGUGCGAAUGCUGACAUAAGUAACGAUAAAGCGGGUGAAAAGCCCGCUCGCCGGAAGACCAAGGGUUCCUGUCCAACGUUAAUCGGGGCAGGGUGAGUCGACCCCUAAGGCGAGGCCGAAAGGCGUAGUCGAUGGGAAACGGGUUAAUAUUCCCGUACUUGGUGUUACUGCGAAGGGGGGACGGAGAAGGCUAUGUUGGCCGGGCGACGGUUGUCCCGGUUUAAGCGUGUAGGUGUGUGUUCCAGGUAAAUCCGGUUCACUUUAACACUGAGGCGUGACGACGAGGCACUACGGUGCUGAAGCAACAAAUGCCCUGCUUCCAGGAAAAGCCUCUAAGCAUCAGGUAACACGAAAUCGUACCCCAAACCGACACAGGUGGUCAGGUAGAGAAUACCAAGGCGCUUGAGAGAACUCGGGUGAAGGAACUAGGCAAAAUGGUGCCGUAACUUCGGGAGAAGGCACGCUGACACGUAGGUGAAGUGAUUUACUCAUGGAGCUGAAGUCAGUCGAAGAUACCAGCUGGCUGCAACUGUUUAUUAAAAACACAGCACUGUGCAAACACGAAAGUGGACGUAUACGGUGUGACGCCUGCCCGGUGCCGGAAGGUUAAUUGAUGGGGUCAGCGCAAGCGAAGCUCCUGAUCGAAGCCCCGGUAAACGGCGGCCGUAACUAUAACGGUCCUAAGGUAGCGAAAUUCCUUGUCGGGUAAGUUCCGACCUGCACGAAUGGCGUAAUGAUGGCCAGGCUGUCUCCACCCGAGACUCAGUGAAAUUGAACUCGCUGUGAAGAUGCAGUGUACCCGCGGCAAGACGGAAAGACCCCGUGAACCUUUACUAUAGCUUGACACUGAACAUUGAGCCUUGAUGUGUAGGAUAGGUGGGAGGCUUUGAAGUGUGGACGCCAGUCUGCAUGGAGCCGACCUUGAAAUACCACCCUUUAAUGUUUGAUGUUCUAACGUGGACCCGUAAUCCGGGUUGCGGACAGUGUCUGGUGGGUAGUUUGACUGGGGCGGUCUCCUCCUAAAGAGUAACGGAGGAGCACGAAGGUUGGCUAAUCCUGGUCGGACAUCAGGAGGUUAGUGCAAUGGCAUAAGCCAGCUUGACUGCGAGCGUGACGGCGCGAGCAGGUGCGAAAGCAGGUCAUAGUGAUCCGGUGGUUCUGAAUGGAAGGGCCAUCGCUCAACGGAUAAAAGGUACUCCGGGGAUAACAGGCUGAUACCGCCCAAGAGUUCAUAUCGACGGCGGUGUUUGGCACCUCGAUGUCGGCUCAUCACAUCCUGGGGCUGAAGUAGGUCCCAAGGGUAUGGCUGUUCGCCAUUUAAAGUGGUACGCGAGCUGGGUUUAGAACGUCGUGAGACAGUUCGGUCCCUAUCUGCCGUGGGCGCUGGAGAACUGAGGGGGGCUGCUCCUAGUACGAGAGGACCGGAGUGGACGCAUCACUGGUGUUCGGGUUGUCAUGCCAAUGGCACUGCCCGGUAGCUAAAUGCGGAAGAGAUAAGUGCUGAAAGCAUCUAAGCACGAAACUUGCCCCGAGAUGAGUUCUCCCUGAGACUUAGAGUCUCCUGAAGGAACGUUGAAGACGACGACGUUGAUAGGCCGGGUGUGUAAGCGCAGCGAUGCGUUGAGCUAACCGGUACUAAUGAACCGUGAGGCUUAACCUU